UAUAAUAUUAAUGGCCUUGCGGCACAAAGCACGUUCAUCAUUGUUAAUAGCGUAUAAUGAUUUAAGGGAAUGCAAGAAAAUUACCAAAAAGUGGCAAUCAACUUAAAACUCCCUCAAAAAUGUGCACAGGUGUUUGGAAGAUGAUUGUUAGGGCAAGCACAUGCAUCCAAAAAUUGGCUGCCAGCAUCAAACCCCAUCACAACUCAUUAAUGAUCCUUCCGCAGGUUCACCUACGGAAA
Molecule: unclassified non-coding RNA, 239 nt
Filed under: uncultured fungus
Lineage: Eukaryota; Fungi
Description: sequence contains ITS1
Source: RNAcentral